UAUAUAAUUAUAAUUAAUUUACAAUAUUGAUCGUAAAAAGUAUUUUGCUAUUGCUAUGUAAAUUAUGAUAAAAGAGUUGAUAGUUAUAAGACGAACCAAUUACUCAUAUGUACAUUUUUCGAAGUGUAUUUAUUUAUUAUGGUCAAAAUAAAUUGCACCGAAUGAAGGUAACUGUAAAAUGUUAUCAAACACUUGUUAAAUUGCAAAAUAUUUUGAUGAUAUAGCGAAAUUCCAGGAUUCAAUUGCAGAAAUGUUGAGGAAUGUGUAAAACAUGUUUUUGUGAGUGCAGUGACAAACGCACUUCGUGCACUUUUUCGCCUCGAUAGAAAGAGUUGUGGCUUCUCUCCCACUUGAGUCUAUUUUUGAGACGUCAACUUGCGUGAGUUGGUUGCAAAGUGGUGCCUAUGAUGGCUAUGGUGGCUCGGGAUUUCCAGCGGGACGCAGUUGGGUGCAAUUGGCAACUCCAUUGAGGCGUCUCCAUAUGCAUCUGCAUCUGCUUCAGCACCGGUUCUGUGGCAUUUUCCCAGGGCGACACACAAUCCAGUCCCUUCGGCAAUGCAACUGCCGCCCCAAAGUAUCUAAUUACAUUGUAUCGCAUUACGACCAACAACAAGGUUAUGAAAUCGCAAUUGCAAUUGCAAUUGCAACUAGCACAACGCCCACGACUUCUGAACACUGCCUUUGCUACGUCGGAGAUGGGGAAUUUGUCUGGAGAAUGCCAUAUUAUUUUUCUUAUCUUUCAAAGCAGAAGAAUUUCAUUUACGUUCUUCUUAUAACUUUUCCUUUUGAGAGACUUUUUUACGCAGAAUAACCUGAUUCCCUUUUAAAUUAGGGUACAGGUUGUUGAUUCUUGAGAUUAACAGCUGUAGAAGCUAUAGCUAUCAAUAAAUUUAAAGUGAUAUAAUGGCUGCAGCCCACUGUGCCUAGUUACGUGUGUGGUUGUAUUAACUUUGAUUGAGCCGGAGAGGCGUAGCGCGACUUUCCCCCCAAUUCGCCCACUUGAAAGUCCGAGAUCCACCCGGACUGGCUGACAAUUGCGGCCAGACACACGAAAAAGGCAAUUGCAGGCCCCCAUUUCGACCUUUUUGGAUGGGACAAACUCAGAUAGUUUGGCAAAUAGAUGUGCAUUUUCGUUGGCGAAAUUUCUGUGUGGGAAAUCACACCGCACGAAGCUGGAAAAUGUCGUUUUUAUGUUCCGAUGACGAGCGAAUACAUAUUGCACGGAGCGAUGACUCAAUAGUAGCGUCAAUAAAUAAAUAUUUAUGUGAAAACCGGCUUAUCAGCGUCUCAGCUGAGAGAUUGAGCGCACUUAAGUGCACACAAUAAGCGACUAAUUAUAAUAAAAAUGGCAUUAAUUGAUUA
Molecule: long non-coding RNA, 1362 nt
Organism: Drosophila yakuba
Lineage: Eukaryota; Metazoa; Arthropoda; Insecta; Diptera; Drosophilidae
Exons: 2
Source: RefSeq, a predicted model, not a curated record